RNAcentral lists this ribosomal RNA (118 nucleotides) under uncultured bacterium. RNAcentral describes it as "partial 16S ribosomal RNA". It matches the Rfam family "Bacterial small subunit ribosomal RNA", at positions 1383 to 1500 of the family's 1533-position model. The record is from RNAcentral.
GUACACACCGCCCGUCACACCAUGGGAGGCCGGUAAUACCCGAAGUCAGUAGUCCAACCUCGUGAGGACGCUGCCGAAGGUAGGAUUGGCGACUGGGGUNAAGUCGUAACAAGGUAAC